UUUAAAAGACAGUAGUUAAACUCUACUAUUAAGGA
This 35-nucleotide transfer RNA is filed under the name Diadema antillarum. RNAcentral's name for it is "partial tRNA-Lys". The record is from RNAcentral. Lineage: Eukaryota; Metazoa; Echinodermata; Echinoidea; Diadematoida; Diadematidae.